AUACGGAGGGUGCAAGCGUUAUCCGGAUUUACUGGGUUUAAAGGGUACGCAGGCGGUAAUUUAAGUCAGUGGUGAAAGCCUACAGCUCAACUGUAGAACUGCCAUUGAAACUGAAUUACUUGAGUAUGGUAGAGGUAGGCGGAAUACAACAUGUAGCGGUGAAAUGCAUAGAUAUGUUGUGGAACACCGAUUGCGAAGGCAGCUUACUAAACCAUUACUGACGCUCAUGUACGAAAGCGUGGGGAGCGAACAGGAGUAGAAACCCUAGUAGUCC
This 274-nucleotide ribosomal RNA is filed under the name uncultured bacterium. Its description in RNAcentral is "partial 16S ribosomal RNA". It matches the Rfam family "Bacterial small subunit ribosomal RNA", at positions 523 to 796 of the family's 1533-position model. The record is from RNAcentral.